UACGGGGGGAGCAAGCGUUGUUCGGAUUUACUGGGCGUAAAGGGCGCGUAGGCGGCCAGCACAAGUCAGUUGUGAAAUCUCCGGGCUUAACUCGGAAAGGUCAACUGAUACUGUGUGGCUAGAGUGCAGAAGGGGCAACUGGAAUUCUCGGUGUAGCGGUGAAAUGCGUAGAUAUCGAGAGGAACACCUGCGGCGAAGGCGGGUUGCUGGGCUGACACUGACGCUGAUGCGCGAAAGCCAGGGGAGCGAACGGG
This 254-nucleotide ribosomal RNA is filed under the name uncultured bacterium. Its description in RNAcentral is "partial 16S ribosomal RNA". It matches the Rfam family "Bacterial small subunit ribosomal RNA", at positions 524 to 776 of the family's 1533-position model. The record is from RNAcentral.